AACAAGCCGAUGGGGUGUGAUUUUUGCUUGUCAUAGUUACUCUGAUU
Molecule: small nucleolar RNA, 47 nt
Filed under: Stomoxys calcitrans (stable fly)
Lineage: Eukaryota; Metazoa; Arthropoda; Insecta; Diptera; Muscidae
Description: small nucleolar RNA R442
Rfam family: Small nucleolar RNA R442
Source: RNAcentral